CCUACGGGAGGCUGCAGUGGGGAAUAUUGGGCAAUGGGCGCAAGCCUGACCCAGCAACGCCGCGUGAAGGAAGAAGGCUUUCGGGUUGUAACCUUCUUUUCUCAGGGACGAAGAAAGUGACGGUACCUGAGGACUAAGCCACGGCUAACUACGUGCCAGCAGCCGCGGUAAUACGUAGGUGGCAAGCGUUAUCCGGAUGUACUGGGUGUAAAGGGCGUGUAGGCGGGGAAGCAAGUCAGAUGUGAAAACCACGGGCUCAACCUGUGGACUGAAUUUGAAACUGUUUUUCUUGAGUACUGGAGAGGCAGACGGAAUUCCUAGUGUAGCGGUGAAAUGCGUAGAUAUUAGGAGGAACACCAGUGGCGAAGGCGGUCUGCUGGACAGCAACUGACGCUGAGGCGCGAAAGCGUGGGGAGCAAACAGGAUUAGAUACCCGUGUAGUC
Molecule: ribosomal RNA, 443 nt
Filed under: uncultured bacterium
Lineage: Bacteria
Description: partial 16S ribosomal RNA
Rfam family: Bacterial small subunit ribosomal RNA
Source: RNAcentral